Molecule: long non-coding RNA, 694 nt
Organism: Pipra filicauda (Wire-tailed manakin)
Lineage: Eukaryota; Metazoa; Chordata; Aves; Passeriformes; Pipridae
Exons: 2
Source: RefSeq, a predicted model, not a curated record
GGCUCAGCUUCCCUGUGCACUGUGCUCUAAUAUCUCUCCACUGUCAUCAUGAAAAAUUUUGUCAGCACGUUUUGUUCGAGGAUGGUAAGCAGGACCUGGGUGAAAAUGACAUUCUGUUAGGUGCAGAGGGAAAUAAUUAUCCUUUGAAGUUAAAUGUAUUCAGAUUUGCACGAGUCUUGUCUGCCUUAUGUUUGAAUUGCUUUCUAUUGUAGGCAGUGGUUUUAAAUUAAACUUUUAUUUUGGGUCUCCCCCCCCAGUAUCUUGUCCAAGACCAAGCUACCUUUCCUCGUGGGAAUGGACUGGCCGGGCUUUGGCAAUCUGGCCCCUCGAAAGUCUUAAGUGACCUCUUCCAACAGGGGGAGACUGAAGCUUCCUGCUGACUGUGUAAACUGGAAAGAAAUGAUACAGUGUGGAUCCAGCUACUUCACUGAAGCUGUAAAGGAAGAACGGCACGUGAAUAGCAGAAAAUGAGUUAGAAAUACUGAUUAAUGGCAAUUUCCUAGGAAGGCAAGGGGCUUAAGCAUGCUGAAGGCCCUUCUACCUAAAGCUGCCUGUGUUCACCACACCAAAGUCCCACCCCAACCCAAGUGGUGGCCUGUGAGUGCCAAGUCUCAGGAAAUUAUUUUCCUUUGGUUUUUGUUUUACUGCAAAAGCUAGACCUGAAUGAAUAUACUCCCAUCACCUGUCUGUGCCA